UGGUAAUUAGUUUAAACAAAACAAAUGAUUUCGACUCAUUAAAUCAUGGGCAUAGCCAUGAGUACCAA
RNAcentral lists this transfer RNA (68 nucleotides) under Spalax carmeli (Mt Carmel blind mole rat). RNAcentral describes it as "tRNA-Arg". It matches the Rfam family "tRNA". Rfam says of the family: Transfer RNA (tRNA) molecules are approximately 80 nucleotides in length. Their secondary structure includes four short double-helical elements and three loops (D, anti-codon, and T loops). The record is from RNAcentral. Lineage: Eukaryota; Metazoa; Chordata; Mammalia; Rodentia; Spalacidae.